GUAGGGAAUAUUGGACAAUGGGCGGAAGCCUGAUCCAGCCAUGCCGCGUGCAGGAAGACGGCCUUCUGGGUUGUAAACUGCUUUUGCCAGGGGAUAAAAAGUCCCUGCGGGGAAAAUUGAAGGUACCUGGUGAAUAAGCCACGGCUAACUACGUGCCAGCAGCCGCGGUAAUACGUAGGUGGCAAGCGUUGUCCGGAUUUAUUGGGUUUAAAGGGUGCGUAGGUGGUCAUGUAAGUCAGUGGUGAAAUACGGCAGCUUAACUGUCGAGGUGCCAUUGAUACUGCGUGACUUGAGUACAGACGAGGUAGGCGGAAUUGACGGUGUAGCGGUGAAAUGCUUAGAUAUCGUCAAGAACACCGAUAGCGAAGGCAGCUUACUAGACUGUAACUGACACUGAGGCACGAAAGUGUGGGGAUCAAACAGGAUUAGAAACCCCUGUAGUCC
Molecule: ribosomal RNA, 444 nt
Filed under: uncultured Cytophagaceae bacterium
Lineage: Bacteria; Pseudomonadati; Bacteroidota; Cytophagia; Cytophagales; Cytophagaceae
Description: bacterial SSU rRNA
Rfam family: Bacterial small subunit ribosomal RNA
Source: RNAcentral